AAAAAAAACACAUGAAGUAAAAUCAUCAUCUUUCUUAUGAUGUUUGUGUUACAGAGAAUGUUUUGACACUUACUCGCAUGUUCCAGUGAUUGGUGGGAAAGGAGCAGGGAUGAAAGGAGUUGGUGGGCUUCCUCCGAUGAUGGGUGUGCCUGGAUCAAUGAUAGGAGUUGGUGGGCUUCCUCCAAUGAUGGGUGUGCCUGGAUCAAUGGGUGUUGGUGGAGUCACAACGACUGGAGUACUUGGUGGAGGAGAUGAGUAAUAUCCACCAGAAGGAGGGUGUGAAGGGGUUGGGCGUGAUGGCGUGGAAGGGUGGGAAGGAGUGGAAGGGUGAGAAGGUGGACUUCCACAGUUACAAGGAGGGGUGUGUGAGGGAGUGUGUGAUGGAGUUGGGGUGUGUGAUGGAGUGGAAGGAGUUGGAGUAUGUGAUGGAGUGGAAGGAGUUGGAGUAUGUGAUGGAGUUGAAGGGUGAGAUGGAGUUGAAGGGUGAGAUGGAGUUGAAGGGUGAGAUGGAGAUGAAGGAGUAGGGUCGUAAGGUGGACUUCCACAGUUAGAAGGAGGCGUGUGUGAUGGAGGAGUUCCAUGUGAGCCUGCAUGAGUUAAGUGAAAGAAUCUUAGUUGAGAUUCUUAUUAACAUAAAGUGAAU
RNAcentral lists this long non-coding RNA (643 nucleotides) under Arabidopsis lyrata. Its description in RNAcentral is "long non-coding RNA (ALYR_LNC002172)". The record is from RNAcentral. Lineage: Eukaryota; Viridiplantae; Streptophyta; Magnoliopsida; Brassicales; Brassicaceae.